Molecule: ribosomal RNA, 423 nt
Filed under: uncultured bacterium
Lineage: Bacteria
Description: bacterial SSU rRNA
Rfam family: Bacterial small subunit ribosomal RNA
Source: RNAcentral
GGGGAAUAUUGGACAAUGGGCGAAAGCCUGAUCCAGCAAUGCCGCGUGGAGGAUGAAGGUCUUCGGAUUGUAAACUCCUGUUGCCAGGGACGAAUGGCUCCGACCUAAUACGUCGGAGAAUGACGGUACCUGGUGAGGAAGCCCCGGCUAACUCUGUGCCAGCAGCCGCGGUAAUACAGAGGGGGCAAGCGUUGUUCGGAAUUACUGGGCGUAAAGGGCGCGUAGGCGGCCCGCUAAGUCGAACGUGAAAUCCCCAGGCUCAACCUGGGAACUGCGUCCGAUACUGGCAGGCUUGAAUCCGGGAGAGGGAUGUGGAAUUCCAGGUGUAGCGGUGAAAUGCGUAGAUAUCUGGAGGAACACCGGUGGCGAAGGCGGCAUCCUGGACCGGUAUUGACGCUGAGGCGCGAAAGCUAGGGGAGCAAA